UGUGCAUCUUGCAUUGUACAAAUUAACAUUGUGGCAAAUUAACUUUGUAUUAUUUUAUCUAUGUGUGUAGAGAAUCUGAAUCUAGUUUAUUUUCAUCAAACUUUGUUUAGAUUGUUGGAGAUAUUAGAAGCUAUUAAAUAAAUGUAUCACGAAAAGUAUUUCACGCCCGAUGCGAAAUUUUUUUACACAAUUAAAAUUAAUUGAAAUAUAUGACGAUCCUUUCCAAUUCUGUGUUUUGCAUUAUCAUGUCUUGAGGCUGAAAAACAGAAUAAACGACUGAGUAAUAUAUUUCCUCAAAAUCGGAAUAUGACUAUGUUUAUAUAUUUAUUUUACUUCUCCAUCAAUUUUGUUCGAACAUCAGAAUGGAUGGAUAUUAGUGAAUAUUUGAAACCAAGCGCAAUGAGGUUGACACAUACUGAAAUGGAUGGGGAUGCACAAUAAAAAAUGACUCCAAUACAGAAUAGAACUUUAUAUCAGUUACAUCUGUACAUAGUUAGAUAAAAAUGUUUAUGGCUGGAAUUACAGUUUUCAGAUUUUCGAGAAUCUAUACUGAAAGACUGGAUGGAGAGAUUUAGACGCUCAUCAUUGGACAUAUACAAAAUCACUCCUAUAAAGCAACAGUUUUGUGAGGCCAUCUCCAGAAUGCCUGUCCUUCAUUCAGCAUAUUUAUACUGAAUUUUUCAGGCCUGUCAGUUAAAGUUAGGAAGUUAGGAAUAGUCAGACGAACAAGUGAUAUCAAAUAAGGGUUCACCUAGUGGUUCUUAUGUUAUCAUACACACUAUUGUCACAUAUACGUGGCAUUUCAUCAGCACUUUUGCUGGGAUACGUGGGGAUCUCAAGAGACAGCUUCAUAACGUGUGAACUUGUAGGGGUCCUACACGAGACAACCACAAUUCUGAACUCCAGCAAUUUCUGCUGGAACAUAACCCGGUUAACUCUUUUUUGCAUGUGUUUUUAACUUUGUUAAUAAAAAACAAUCCUCUGGCUAAAAUUAGUUUGAUCGAGAUUGAAUACAUUGCGGCUGGAUAUUUCAAACAACAAUUAGUGAUAUUAUAUCUCUUCAGCAGUUUUUAAGCUUUUCAUGUCGUUUCUGUUAUAUUAACAGAUAUAAUUUGGUAAUAAAAAUGCCCUGUCACCUGUAAGGAGUGUUUGGUUUGGACCGCUGAUCGAUUUUGGUAACAAGUCGACACGCCACGACAAGGUUUCGACCACCGUGUUGGAUAUAUAUAUAUUUUUUCAAUCUUGCACAGAUUGACAGAAUCGCUAUAUAUAUGCAGGGAAAAUACAUUGAUAUAUUAUUUGAAUAAAUUUUUUCGUCUCUUUGACAACUCUCUGAAAAUUUCAAAGGAAUUUGUCCAGUAGUUAAAGAGAAAAGCGAUUUUUUCUAGUGCGAUAAUAAGAAAAUUCUAACCACGACCACCCAAAACAUAAUAACCAAACGAUCCAUAAGUUCAUUUCGUGUCUAAUAGAAUACAUGUCACAAAUUACAAAAACGGAUAUCGGCUUAUUACAGUGCAUUUGAGAAAGGUGAGUGUGCAGUCUUUUUCAAGCGAGAGGGACCAGUUUAAUAUAAGCAAAGAAAGACGUAGGAAGCGUGAUGUAACUAUGUCUUAACAACAACUAUGUCAAAACCGAGGCAGUCUUCACGUAGGGCCGUUACGCUUGGUGAAAUGGAAGCCGUGUUUCCAUGAAUAGAAAUAUCAAAUCGCAUAGGAUUCAUCGAAUAUUUAGUAAUAAAUAAAUAUAAUAGCUUUCUGGCAACAACAACAGUCUUUAACCACUGAAAAUUCCAAAGCAAUUGAUCCAGUAGUUACAGAGAAAAGCGAUUUUUACUCAAGAAUAAUAAUACCGAGAAGAUACCGUGAACAACAACAUCAUCACAAAACGAUCCAUAUAUAGACUUCGUGUCUGCAAAACGAUUCCCAUAAACUAUAUAAGGUAAUAAAUACCCUUCUAGCGACAAAUAUAACUGCUCCACCAAUUAAACAAAACAAAAAAUUUCCACAACAACAACAAGAAUACCAACAACAACAAAACGAUCCAUAGGUACUCCUCGUGUCCAAUAAAUGUGUAAGAUCAACGGCGGUCAGCAUAUGUCCUCAAUAGAACCAAAAACAACGUCCUAUUGUUGGUGAUAAACCGACAUGAUACUGGCUAUUGAAAUUAGCGGAUGUUUUUUUGGUACAUAUGUUGAUCACCGAUUUGCUGACCUUAUCUAAAAAUAGCCUUACGAAUUACAACGCAAAAUGUUUGGGGGAAGAUAGUUUUUAGGUUACGAGAGUUUCGAGAAAAGAGGAUGAGAGUUUGGACGUGCCGUGCUGACAUUUAUAACUCGAGGUAUAAAGUAAUAGUGUUAGCAUAUUAAUAAUACAUUUGGAUAAUUGCCUCUGUUUCAAAAGGUUGGCACAAGCAUUUAGAUCUUCUCGACCAGAUGGAUAUGAUUCUCAUUUCAUGUUGUUUUUUUGCCUAACUUGUCAUGAUGAGAGUUUUCGAUGUCUAUCACCCUAUAUGUAUCGCUGAACUCAAUAGUAACAGACAUGUUAGGGAAUCGAAACUUGUCAUUUUUACUCCUUCCAAUCUAUCUCGAUUUACGGUGGUAACGCCAGAGGCGAGGCAAAUUUCGCUUCAUUUUCAUGGUAUUAGAAAUUUAACGAUCAACUAUCUCGCUGUCCUGUGAAACUGCCAUUAAGUUGACAAGGUUUGUCGGUUAUCUUCAGGUUAUACGGCCUGUUACCCAAUUACAAAUAGUUAGAAUUCGAAGUACAUUCAAAUACCUUUAUAAUCGAACAGUUCAUGCACAAGAAAACAAAAACACCUUGUGACUGAGAAUAAAGUUUGCAGGCAAUGGAACUACGGAGAACGAAAUUUUUUUAUUAUAUAGGUUGCUCAUUAAAAUCAAUUGAGCACCUGAUAUUAUGCCCUCCAUAUAUGUGGCAAAUGAGGCAGAUGAACAAGAAAUCAAAAUCGUAGUCAUCAUCCGUGAAAAAAUCGUGAGGGGAUUGAACAGUUUUGAGACGAAGACGAACUCACAAUAAUUUAUCAAAUGAAUGAUUCGAACUUUAGUUAUUAAUAAUAAAAGUAGGCAAAAUAUUCAAACGCUCUUUCAACUAUUUUUAUUUCCUAUAAUAUUUGUAACACGCACAAUUACUUCUCUUAAACCCGAUUGUGUUGUAAAUCGCAAGGCUAUUUUUAAAUAAGGUCAGCAAAUUGAUAAUUUGUGUAUGUUUUAUUCAAAACAGUAAUCACAGAUUUUAACAGUCGGUAUUAUGCCGGUUUAUAACUAAUAACAAUAGAACAUAAGGUGAGCUGUUGAUCUUACACAUUUAUCGUAUUUCAUUGCUUAGUUCAGUCUAUCAAAAUAGGAAAGCUUUUAUUCUAAUUCUUGUUCUCUAUACCUGGCAAAUGUAACCCCUGCCCUUCUAUUUACUGAAAUAUCUGUACUCGAGUAAUAAUAUUCUGAUAAAGGAACAUAUACACGGUUACAAGUAAAUAAAAUUCAAAAUAUCCUUCAUUCAUUUGAUAGGAAUUCUAUAAUUUUUGGAGGUCUUCACAUGCUUCUGUUUUUCUGAUUAUAUUGAAGUCAAGCCACUUUAUACGAAUCCAGCUUGGAAACUAAUUUUUAAAGGGAAAUUGGUUGAAUUUUUUCAAUUAAAUACUGCAGAUGAAACAGCUGCUCAACUUGAAAAAAUUAGGGUCUGUACAUGGUUAUUUGAAAUAAAAUUUAUGUAUUAGCCAUGUUACAGGAAUUUUUUAACCAAUGCAUAUUUUAUUGAAUCCAGGUCGCCUCCAUUCGCUCCAUUUGACUGUAAAAGCGCAAAACAUGUGUCAUACACACAUUUUAUCAAUGUUUUUAUAUGAGUGAAUGUCUUUCGGAAGAUUCAAUAAGAAUGCUCAUAUUUUUCGCAUGUUUCUUUCAUGCAGCCUUCCUUGUCUAACCUUCUCCAUAAAGACGGUAAAUUUUUUUUUCAUCAUUCUACAGAUAUAGUCACCAAACUGAUGUUUCAAAAUAUACCAACAAUUUUAUACUUUACUUAUUUCUCUGACCCCCUUUCCCACGCGGUAUAUCAUAUAUAUAUAUAUCAAAAACCGUACACUAUGCACCAAGAUUAGUUCUUGAUUUUCCGAUUUUAACACACUUUUUGGGGGCAACGGAAUGUUUUCAGGAACUUUAAUCGGAUCAUCAUGCGUUAUUAUCUGUGUCGCAUCGUAAAUAUAGUUAAUUUAGUACUUGAAAUGGCCUUCACAAUCUUUCACUUUUCCUCGGCCGGAAAAAGAUUUCAAAACGCACAAAUUGCAAAUUCUGAACCCAAAUAAACCAAAUUGUAAUUUUCUGUCGAACCAAGCCUGCACUAUGACUCGCAUUGUUGUUUGUCUUCAAACGGACGUUUUGUGAUUUUAUGAAAACUGAUUCAAAGUAAUUGAAACGUUUUAUAUUUACUAUUAAAACCUAGUCUAUCACAAUUUUGCGCCAUCAGAAAAGAAAAUGACAAAAGUGUCGAGAAUGAAAAAAUCUGUACAGGAAAUCAAAUGUGUAUAUAAAUGAGAGAUUGCAAAUGCUUUCUUAUCACCGACGAGAGUACCAACCCAACAUUACUGCAAACGAUAUUCAACAAACUGAGAAUAUGCGCUCAAUUACUUUCAUUCUGCUGCUCCUGUUCACAAUCGUAGCAUUCUCUGAUGCUUGGGUAUCUCAAAAUAAGUAUAAACCAAUACAACAAGAAAAAAAGUGUAGCUGUGAUGCAGAACUGGUAGAGAAACUUGUUGACGAAGCAGUACAAAAUAAGUUCAUGGAUAUGGCCGCUAGUCAGAUCAACAUGUUGGACAGGGAUGCAAACACGCAUAAAAGGAAGAAAUAACUUAAUUAAUAUAAAUUUAUUUGCUUGAAAAUGAUAAUGUUAGUAUCCAGUAACAUCCGUUUUAUCACCGUUUUGAAUUGCUGAACCGUUAAUCUAGUUUUAUUUUUUGGCCACAAUAAUUGCUGGUUUUGUUUAUUUUUUUCAUAUUGAGUUAAUGUUUACAAAAAUUAUUACGCCUGUUGAAAUCUGCCCGUUAUCAAUUUAUCAUUUUCAAGCACGUAAAUGAUACCUCCACGACGAGACACAAACCUGUUCCGAUAUCGACAACGAUUCUUUUUUUUUUUUAUA
This is a long non-coding RNA of Styela clava, 5144 nucleotides long. RefSeq lists it as uncharacterized. NCBI's taxonomy places the organism in Eukaryota, Metazoa, Chordata, Ascidiacea, Stolidobranchia, Styelidae. The record is from RefSeq and is a predicted model, not a curated record.